AUUGAACGCUGGCGGCAGGCCUAACACAUGCAAGUCGAGCGGAUGAAGGGAGCUUGCUCCUGGAUUCAGCGGCGGACGGGUGAGUAAUGCCUAGGAAUCUGCCUGGUAGUGGGGGAUAACGUCCGGAAACGGGCGCUAAUACCGCAUACGUCCUGAGGGAGAAAGUGGGGGAUCUUCGGACCUCACGCUAUCAGAUGAGCCUAGGUCGGAUUAGCUAGUUGGUGGGGUAAUGGCCUACCAAGGCGACGAUCCGUAACUGGUCUGAGAGGGUGAUCAGUCACACUGGAACUGAGACACGGUCCAGACUCCUACGGGAGGCAGCAGUGGGGAAUAUUGGACAAUGGGCGAAAGCCUGAUCCAGCCAUGCCGCGUGUGUGAAGAAGGUCUUCGGAUUGUAAAGCACUUUAAGUUGGGAGGAAGGGAAGUAAGUUAAUACCUGGCUGUUUUGACGUUACCAACAGAAUAAGCACCGGCUAACUUCGUG
RNAcentral lists this ribosomal RNA (484 nucleotides) under uncultured bacterium. RNAcentral's name for it is "partial 16S ribosomal RNA". It matches the Rfam family "Bacterial small subunit ribosomal RNA", at positions 30 to 507 of the family's 1533-position model. The record is from RNAcentral.